UGGAUGUUGGUGUGUUUAACGUUGUCCCAAGUUCUAUGAGACUCUCUUCCCAUCCACUGAGUUAGCAAAAUGCAUCACUUCUUUCUCUCACAGUUCUGACAUUUUUGCCUUUAUUGGCAUUUCCUGCUUUACUGUCUUCCAAAAUAAGGGUAAAUAUCAAAAGGAAAAAGAUUGUUUUUAGUCAUUGUUAUAGCCCUGGCCAGACCAGGAAAAUCUUUAACAUAUAGGUCCUCAAUAAGUUUUUAGUGAAUGUACUAUCUUCCUACAGCUGCUGUAACAAAUUACCACAAAAUCAGUGGCCUAAAACAACAUAGAUUCAUCUUCUUACAGUUUAGGGAGACAGAAGACAAGAAUACAUUUCACCAGACUAAAGUCAAGGUGUUAGCAGGGCUCUGGUCUCUAGAGACUCUAGGAUAGAAUCCAUUUCCUUGCUUUUCCAACUUAACACUGCAUUCUCUGCAUUCCUUGGCUCAUAGUUCCUUCCUCUGUAUUUCAGUGUUAACAAGUAGCAUCUAUCUUCACAUCUCUAUCCAGGAGUUUGCUAGUGGCCUAGCUAGCAGUUAAUGAAUCCAGUGUUGUCACUGCUGUGGUUCAGGUUGCUGCUGCGGCACAGAUUUGAUCCCUGGCCCUGGAACUUCCACAUGCCACAGGAGUGGCCAAAAAAAACCCUCUCCAUCUGAGGUUGUCAUAUCACCUUCUCCUCUUAAGCAAACCUCCCACUACAUCCCUCUUAUAAGAAUAUGUGAUUACAUUUAGGAUCCAUCUGGAUAACACAGACAAUCUCCUGAUCUCAAAGUCCUUAAUCACUUUUUUUUGACACAUAAGGUAAUAUUCACCAUUUUGCCUUUACUCACAAAUUUCAGAGAUUAGGACCUGAAUGUCUUUGAGGGAUCAUUGUUCAGCCUAUCACAGCAAGUUUAACCCUCUUUUUAAAUGAGACCAUUCAAUGCAAGAUUCAAAAUAUUUACACCUGCUGAGUCUCCAUCUAAGGAAACAUUUUCCCCACUAACAAUAUCUAAUGUUCUCUAAGUUGCAAAUCCAACCUUAACAGUCUCAGUCAGCUUCUGCCUGUCAGACUCUUAAGUCCUCUGCCCCUGAGAACUGACUUGGGUCUGCCCCCUUUCUCUCCUAGCCUUGUCAGAGA
This 1144-nucleotide long non-coding RNA is filed under the name Sus scrofa (pig). RNAcentral describes it as "lncRNA (ENSSSCG00015071659.1)". The record is from RNAcentral. Lineage: Eukaryota; Metazoa; Chordata; Mammalia; Artiodactyla; Suidae.